AGUUUGAUCCUGGCUCAGAUUGAACGCUGGCGGCAGGCCUAACACAUGCAAGUCGAACGGUAACAGGAAGAAGCUUGCUUCUUUGCUGACGAGUGGCGGACGGGUGAGUAAUGUCUGGGAAACUGCCUGAUGGAGGGGGAUAACUACUGGAAACGGUAGCUAAUACCGCAUAACGUCGCAAGACCAAAGAGGGGGACCUUCGGGCCUCUUGCCAUCGGAUGUGCCCAGAUGGGAUUAGCUAGUAGGUGGGGUAACGGCUCACCUAGGCGACGAUCCCUAGCUGGUCUGAGAGGAUGACCAGCCACACUGGAACUGAGACACGGUCCAGACUCCUACGGGAGGCAGCAGUGGGGAAUAUUGCACAAUGGGCGCAAGCCUGAUGCAGCCAUGCCGCGUGUAUGAAGAAGGCCUUCGGGUUGUAAAGACUUUUCAGCGGGGAGGAAGGGAGUAAAGUUAAUACCUUUGCUCAUUGACGUUACCCGCAGAAGAAGCACCGGCUAACUCCGUGCCAGCAGCCGCGGUAAUACGGAGGGUGCAAGCGUUAAUCGGAAUUACUGGGCGUAAAGCGCACGCAGGCGGUUUGUUAAGUCAGAUGUGAAAUCCCCGGGCUCAACCUGGGAACUGCAUCUGAUACUGGCAAGCUUGAGUCUCGUAGAGGGGGGUAGAAUUCCAGGUGUAGCGGUGAAAUGCGUAGAGAUCUGGAGGAAUACCGGUGGCGAAGGCGGCCCCCUGGACGAAGACUGACGCUCAGGUGCGAAAGCGUGGGGAGCAAACAGGAUUAGAUACCCUGGUAGUCCACGCCGUAAACGAUGUCGACUUGGAGGUUGUGCCCUUGAGGCGUGGCUUCCGGAGCUAACGCGUUAAGUCGACCGCCUGGGGAGUACGGCCGCAAGGUUAAAACUCAAAUGAAUUGACGGGGGCCCGCACAAGCGGUGGAGCAUGUGGUUUAAUUCGAUGCAACGCGAAGAACCUUACCUGGUCUUGACAUCCACGGAAGUUUUCAGAGAUGAGAAUGUGCCUUCGGGAACCAUGAGACAGGUGCUGCAUGACUGUCGUCAGCUCGUGUUGUGAAAUGUUGGGUUAAGUCCCGCAACGAGCGCAACCCUUAUCCUUUGUUGCCAGCGGUCCGGCCGGGAACUCAAAGGAGACUGCCAGUGAUAAACUGGAGGAAGGUGAGGAUGACGUCAAGUCAUCAUGGCCCUUACGACCAGGGCUACACACGUGCUACAAUGGCGCAUACAAAGAGAAGUGACCUCGCGAGAGCAAGCGGACCUCAUAAAGUGCGUCGUAGUCCGGAUUGGAGUCUGCAACUCGACUCCAUGAAGUCGGAAUCGCUAGUAAUCGUGGAUCAGAAUGCCACGGUGAAUACGUUCCCGGGCCUUGUACACACCGCCCGUCACACCAUGGGAGUGGGUUGCAAAAGAAGUAGGUAGCUUAACC
RNAcentral lists this ribosomal RNA (1440 nucleotides) under uncultured bacterium. Its description in RNAcentral is "bacterial SSU rRNA". It matches the Rfam family "Bacterial small subunit ribosomal RNA". The record is from RNAcentral.